This 442-nucleotide ribosomal RNA is filed under the name uncultured bacterium. RNAcentral's name for it is "partial 16S ribosomal RNA". It matches the Rfam family "Bacterial small subunit ribosomal RNA", at positions 338 to 795 of the family's 1533-position model. The record is from RNAcentral.
CCUACGGGAGGCAGCAGUGGGGAAUAUUGGGCAAUGGGCGCAAGCCUGACCCAGCAAUGCCGCGUGAAGGAAGAAGGCUUUCUGGUUGUAAACUUCUUUUACAGGGGAAGAGCACAAGACUGUACCCUGAAAACAAGCCACGGCUAACUACGUGCCAGCAGCCGCGGUAAUACGUAGGUGGCAAGCGUUGUCCGGAUUUACUGGGUGUAAAGGGAGUGUAGCCGGGAAGGUAAGUCAGAGGUGAAAUCUGGAGGCUCAACCUCCAAAUUGCAUCUGAUACUGUUUUUCUAGAGUACUGGAGCGGCAGGCGGAAUGUAUGGUGUAGCGGUGAAAUGCGUAGAGAUCAGACGGAACACCAGUGGCGAAGGCGGUCUGCUGAGCAGCUUCUGACGGUGAGGCGCGAAAGCGUGGGGAGCAAACAGGAUUAGAUACCCCAGUAGUC